This 253-nucleotide ribosomal RNA is filed under the name uncultured bacterium. Its description in RNAcentral is "partial 16S ribosomal RNA". It matches the Rfam family "Bacterial small subunit ribosomal RNA", at positions 524 to 776 of the family's 1533-position model. The record is from RNAcentral.
UACGUAGGUGGCAAGCGUUGUCCGGAAUUAUUGGGCGUAAAGCGCGCGCAGGUGGUUCCUUAAGUCUGAUGUGAAAGCCCACGGCUCAACCGUGGAGGGUCAUUGGAAACUGGGGAACUUGAGUGCAGAAGAGGAAAGUGGAAUUCCAAGUGUAGCGGUGAAAUGCGUAGAGAUUUGGAGGAACACCAGUGGCGAAGGCGACUUUCUGGCCUGUUCUUGACGCUGAGGCGCGAAGGCUAGGGGAGCAAACGGG